RNAcentral lists this ribosomal RNA (253 nucleotides) under uncultured bacterium. RNAcentral's name for it is "partial 16S ribosomal RNA". It matches the Rfam family "Bacterial small subunit ribosomal RNA", at positions 524 to 776 of the family's 1533-position model. The record is from RNAcentral.
UACAGAGGUCUCAAGCGUUGUUCGGAAUCACUGGGCGUAAAGGGUGCGUAGGCCGCACGGCAAGUCAGAUGUGAAAGCCCGGAGCUCAACUCCGGAAUGGCAUCCGAUACUGCCGUGCUCGAGGACUGGAGAGGAGUCUGGAAUUCACAGUGGAGCAGUGAAAUGCGUAGAUAUGGGGAGGAACACCGGUGGCGAAGGCGGCCAUCUGGACGGUCACUGACGCUGAGACGCGAAAGCGUGGGUAGCAAACAGG